UUUUAGAACUCUGACAGGUAGGCACAGAGUACAAGGCAGAGGAUGUGCGUCAAGCCACUGAAGCUGUGGGAUCAUCAACAAAGAAAGUAUGAAAAGCUGACUCAGGUGUCUUCAAAGUCCCAAGUACUGAAUUCCCAGUGGCCUCCCCUGGAAGAAUACCACUCUCUUAUCCCUUCUCCUCUCUACAAGCAUCCUGGGUCACCCACACCCUAAAUCGCUGGAAAACUAAAAGACUUUCCUGAAACUGAUUCACAGACCCUAGGGCAGAGUUGCUUAGUGACUGAGUCAUGCUGACCCAUUGUAUGGGAUGUACAACCACAGCGUUGAAGACACAGAGGCCCAUGGAAACAUGCAACUCCAUAACUAGAGCUGUUUUUCUUCUGUGUGUGAUCAUACAUUUGCCCACACCCCCAUGGACAAUAAUGAACCUCAUUUAACUUUCCAAUUAAAUCAAAACCAAGUAGUA
Mastomys coucha (southern multimammate mouse) is the source of this 466-nucleotide long non-coding RNA. RefSeq lists it as uncharacterized. The transcript is spliced from 2 exons. NCBI's taxonomy places the organism in Eukaryota, Metazoa, Chordata, Mammalia, Rodentia, Muridae. The record is from RefSeq and is a predicted model, not a curated record.